This 432-nucleotide ribosomal RNA is filed under the name uncultured bacterium. RNAcentral describes it as "partial 16S ribosomal RNA". It matches the Rfam family "Bacterial small subunit ribosomal RNA", at positions 29 to 506 of the family's 1533-position model. The record is from RNAcentral.
AGCGAACGCUGGCGGCAGGCCUAACACAUGCAAGUCGAACGGACCCUUCGGGGUUAGUGGCGGACGGGCGAGUAACACGUGGGAACGUGCCUUUAGGUUCGGAAUAGCUCCUGGAAACGGGUGGUAAUGCCGAAUGUGCCCUUCGGGGGAAAGAUUUAUCGCCUUUAGAGCGGCCCGCGUCUGAUUAGCUAGUUGGUGAGGUAACGGCUCACCAAGGCGACGAUCAGUAGCUGGUCUGAGAGGAUGACCAGCCACACUGGGACUGAGACACGGCCCAGACUCCUACGGGAGGCAGCAGUGGGGAAUCUUGCGCAAUGGGCGAAAGCCUGACGCAGCCAUGCCGCGUGAAUGAUGAAGGUCUUAGGAUUGUAAAAUUCUUUCACCGGGGACGAUAAUGACGGUACCCGGAGAAGAAGCCCCGGCUAACUUCGU